UAAGCAUAUCAAUAAGCGGAGGAAAAGAAACCAACAGGGAUUGCCCUAGUAACGGCGAGUGAAGCGGCAACAGCUCAAAUUUGAAAUCUGGCUCUUUCAGGGUCCGAGUUGUAAUUUGCAGAGGGUGCUUUGGCGUUGGCGGCGGUCUAAGUUCCUUGGAACAGGACAUCGCAGAGGGUGAGAAUCCCGUAUGUGGUCGCAUGCCUUCGCCGUGUAAAGCCCCUUCGACGAGUCGAGUUGUUUGGGAAUGCAGCUCUAAAUGGGAGGUAAAUUUCUUCUAAAGCUAAAUACCGGCCAGAGACCGAUAGCGCACAAGUAGAGUGAUCGAAAGAUGAAAAGCACUUUGGAAAGAGAGUCAAACAGCACGUGAAAUUGUUGAAAGGGAAGCGCUUGCAGCCAGACUUGCCUGUAGUUGCUCACCCGGGCUCUUGCCCGGGGCACUCUUCUGCAGGCAGGCCAGCAUCAGUUUGGGCGGUCGGAUAAAGGCCUCUGUCACGUACUUCCUUUCGGGGUUGACAUAUAGGGGAGGCGCAAUGCGACCAGCCUGGACUGAGGUCCGCGCAUCUGCUAGGAUGCUGGCGUAAUGGCUGUAAGCGGCCCGUCUUGAAACACGGACCAAGGAGUCUAACAUCUAUGCGAGUGUUUGGGUGUCAAGCCCGAGCGCGCAAUGAAAGUGAACGGAGGUGGGAACCCCUCGGGGCGCACCAUCGACCGAUCCUGAUGUCUUCGGAUGGAUUUGAGUAAGAGCAUAGCUGUUGGGACCCGAAAGAUGGUGAACUAUGCUUGAAUAGGGUGAAGCCAGAGGAAACUCUGGUGGAGGCUCGCAGCGGUUCUGACGUGCAAAUCGAUCGUCAAAUUUGGGCAUAGGGGCGAAAGACUAAUCGAACUAUCUAGUAGCU
Molecule: ribosomal RNA, 899 nt
Filed under: Periconia neobrittanica
Lineage: Eukaryota; Fungi; Ascomycota; Dothideomycetes; Pleosporales; Periconiaceae
Description: partial large subunit ribosomal RNA
Rfam family: Eukaryotic large subunit ribosomal RNA
Source: RNAcentral